AGAAGUCUAGUUAAAUAAAUAACAUUAGUAUGUCAAACUAAAAUUACUGACCAGUGUCUUCUA
Molecule: transfer RNA, 63 nt
Filed under: Thereuopoda clunifera
Lineage: Eukaryota; Metazoa; Arthropoda; Chilopoda; Scutigeromorpha; Scutigeridae
Description: tRNA-Asp
Source: RNAcentral